GCUGGCUGGUAGAGUGCCCUGCCUCACAACAACAUUCAGAGGCAGAAAACAAAACUGAGGUCUAGUCUUUGGAUUUUUUUUACCAGCUCUACGUACCCCAGCUCUACGCACCCUAACUCUCUUUCCACUGCUCUUCAAAAUUAGAUGACAGAAAUAAAAUGGCUCUCUCCUGAAGUAGCAAGGAAAACCAAAAUUAGUAGAUGAAGAUAAGGGUGCCUCUCACAAGCACUUGCCUGAGUCUAAAUAUUCGUGGUGUGCAGAGAUAAAAUAUCCAGCUCCGGAUACAGGACACGGCAGACAGAGCUCGCGAUGGCAACUCGGAGCUCCACAGAUGGGACUGGGCUUCUGGAGAGGAGAGGCGAGCAGGAACGGUGGGUGUGGCGUGAGAUGACGUCAUCCCAGAUAGGGUUUUUCUCUGGAAGUGAUUGCUGCUGAAUCAUCCCCGGGGCCAAUUUUCAGCGUGUCAGUUGGACAAAGGUCCCUGUAAUUAAGGCCUUGUCCCACCACUUGCCACAGCACAAUUCUGCCUAUGUUGCCGUUUGAGGCCAGACAAGAAAACAUGAAUAUAUAAAAUUACCAUAUCUGCUAGAGCUGCGGUGGAGGGCAAAAACCAAUGCUGUCGUGACAGCCAAUAAUACUAUUGCUGCUCCUCUCCCAACAGCACAAAUG
Molecule: long non-coding RNA, 669 nt
Filed under: Cricetulus griseus (Chinese hamster)
Lineage: Eukaryota; Metazoa; Chordata; Mammalia; Rodentia; Cricetidae
Description: lncRNA (ENSCGRG00015031224.1)
Source: RNAcentral